GGCGAUGCGUCUUAAGCAUGCAAGUCGAGCGGGCUUAUUCGGGCAACUGGAUAAGUUAGCGGCGAACUGGUGAGUAACACGUAGGUAAUCUGCCGUGAAGUGGGGGAUAACCCAUGGAAACAUGGACUAAUACCGCAUAUACUCUUGCUACAUAAGUAGAGUAGAGGAAAGUUUUUUCGCUUCACGAUGAGCCUGCGGCCUAUUAGCCUGUUGGUAGGGUAAUGGCCUACCAAAGCUACGAUAGGUAGCCGACCUGAGAGGGUGACCGGCCACAUUGGGACUGAGAUACGGCCCAGACUCCUACGGGAGGCAGCAGCUGAGAACUUCCAAUGGACGAAAGUCUGAUGGAGGACAUCGCGUGAGGGAUGAAGGCCUUGAUUAUCGGA
Molecule: ribosomal RNA, 386 nt
Filed under: Brachyspira pilosicoli
Lineage: Bacteria; Pseudomonadati; Spirochaetota; Spirochaetia; Brachyspirales; Brachyspiraceae
Description: bacterial SSU rRNA
Rfam family: Bacterial small subunit ribosomal RNA
Source: RNAcentral